AACAGGAUUAGAUACCCUGGUAGUCCACGCCGUAAACGAUGUCGACUUGGAGGUUGUUCCCUUGAGGAGUGGCUUCCGGAGCUAACGCGUUAAGUCGACCGCCUGGGGAGUACGGCCGCAAGGUUAAAACUCAAAUGAAUUGACGGGGGCCCGCACAAGCGGUGGAGCAUGUGGUUUAAUUCGAUGCAACGCGAAGAACCUUACCUACUCUUGACAUCCACGGAAUUCGGCAGAGAUGCCUUAGUGCCUUCGGGAACCGUGAGACAGGUGCUGCAUGGCUGUCGUCAGCUCGUGUUGUGAAAUGUUGGGUUAAGUCCCGCAACGAGCGCAACCCUUAUCCUUUGUUGCCAGCGAUUCGGUCGGGAACUCAAAGGAGACUGCCGGUGAUAAACCGGAGGAAGGUGGGGAUGACGUCAAGUCAUCAUGGCCCUUACGAGUAGGGCUACACACGUGCUACAAUGGCGCAUACAAAGAGAAGCGACCUCGCGAGAGCAAGCGGACCUCACAAAGUGCGUCGUAGUCCGGAUCGGAGUCUGCAACUCGACUCCGUGAAGUCGGAAUCGCUAGUAAUCGUGGAUCAGAAUGCCACGGUGAAUACGUUCCCGGGCCUUGUACACACCGCCCGUCACACCAUGGGAGUGGGUUGCAAAAGAAGUAGGUAGCUUAACCUUCGGGAGGGCGCUUACCACUUUGUGAUUCAUGACUGGGGUGAAGUCGUAACAAGGUAACC
RNAcentral lists this ribosomal RNA (730 nucleotides) under uncultured bacterium. RNAcentral describes it as "bacterial SSU rRNA". It matches the Rfam family "Bacterial small subunit ribosomal RNA", at positions 771 to 1501 of the family's 1533-position model. The record is from RNAcentral.